UCCCUGGGGGCUCAGAUGGUAGAGAAUCUGCCUGCAAUGCAGGAGACCCAGGUUUGAUCCCUGGGUUGGGAA
RNAcentral lists this transfer RNA (72 nucleotides) under Ovis aries (sheep). It matches the Rfam family "tRNA". Rfam says of the family: Transfer RNA (tRNA) molecules are approximately 80 nucleotides in length. The record is from Rfam by way of RNAcentral. Lineage: Eukaryota; Metazoa; Chordata; Mammalia; Artiodactyla; Bovidae.